Non-coding RNA from Peromyscus maniculatus bairdii (prairie deer mouse), 665 nucleotides. The record is from RefSeq and is a predicted model, not a curated record. NCBI's taxonomy places the organism in Eukaryota, Metazoa, Chordata, Mammalia, Rodentia, Cricetidae.
CCUCAACAAAACUCAUUGCUUACCAAGUUGGACUUUGGUGGCAUCCAUACUUUGAUUUGUCCGUGGUUUCCUGUCUAAGAAAAUGAAGCUGUGUUGGAAGCUGGCUGAGGAGGCAGGCUAUGCACCUUGGCUGCUGCGGACAUGCAAACAGAGGCCGCCUAGUGAUUUACAGCUGCUGUCCAAGAGGGCUUUUCCAAACACCAGCUCAGCCCAGCGCAUGGCUCCAUGAUGAACAUGCAAGCCACCACCCCGCACAUGGGUUGCUGCUGGGGAUCCUUCAUCACUGGGGCAACACCGAUGCUGAUGAGAACCACAGCCAGACAUGGCCUCACACCACCGUCAGAACCGCUGUCAUCAAAAAGAAAGAGGACGCAUGAGCGCUGUGAGGACACACAUGAAAGGGAACCCAUGGGUACUGCGAGCACAUGUGAACAGUGGAAUCAGUGUGGAAAACAGCAUAGAAGUACUUCAAAGUCUGAACCAGAACUACUGUACGAUCCAACCACCUCACUUCUGGGUCUUCAUCUAAAGGGAAGGAAGCUGAUCCGUGAAAAAAGACAAACUUUCUCACCAGGCUCUUUGUGGCGCUAGUUACAGUACUCAGGACGUGGAACCAACUGAGCGACCAUCAGCAGACAGAAGGGCCAAUAAAGCGUGGUGAUGCU